UUAAGCGACUAAGCGUACACGGUGGAUGCCCUGGCAGUCAGAGGCGAUGAAGGACGUGCUAAUCUGCGAAAAGCGUCGGUAAGGUGAUAUGAACCGUUAUAACCGGCGAUGUCCGAAUGGGGAAACCCAGUGUGAUUCGUCACACUAUCGUUAACUGAAUACAUAGGUUAACGAGGCGAACCGGGGGAACUGAAACAUCUAAGUACCCCGAGGAAAAGAAAUCAACCGAGAUUCCCCCAGUAGCGGCGAGCGAACGGGGAGCAGCCCAGAGUCUGAAUCAGCUUGUGUGUUAGUGGAACGGUCUGGAAAGUCCGACGGUACAGGGUGAUAGUCCCGUACACCAAAAUGCACAGGUUGUGAACUCGAAGAGUAGGGCGGGACACGUGGUAUCCUGUCUGAAUAUGGGGGGACCAUCCUCCAAGGCUAAAUACUCCUGACUGACCGAUAGUGAACCAGUACCGUGAGGGAAAGGCGAAAAGAACCCCGGCGAGGGGAGUGAAAAAGAACCUGAAACCGUGUACGUACAAGCAGUGGGAGCACCUUCGGGUGUGACUGCGUACCUUUUGUAUAAUGGGUCAGCGACUUAUAUUCUGUAGCAAGGUUAACCGUAUAGGGGAGCCGCAGGGAAACCGAGUCUUAACUGGGCGUUAAGUUGCAGGGUAUAGACCCGAAACCCGGUGAUCUAGCCAUGGGCAGGUUGAAGGUUGGGUAACACUAACUGGAGGACCGAACCGACUAAUGUUGAAAAAUUAGCGGAUGACUUGUGGCUGGGGGUGAAAGGCCAAUCAAACCGGGAGAUAGCUGGUUCUCCCCGAAAGCUAUUUAGGUAGCGCCUCGUGAACUCAUCUUCGGGGGUAGAGCACUGUUUCGGCUAGGGGGUCAUCCCGACUUACCAACCCGAUGCAAACUACGAAUACCGAAGAAUGUUAUCACGGGAGACACACGGCGGGUGCUAACGUCCGUCGUGAAGAGGGAAACAACCCAGACCGCCAGCUAAGGUCCCAAAGUCAUGGUUAAGUGGGAAACGAUGUGGGAAGGCACAGACAGCCAGGAUGUUGGCUUAGAAGCAGCCAUCAUUUAAAGAAAGCGUAAUAGCUCACUGGUCGAGUCGGCCUGCGCGGAAGAUGUAACGGGGCUAAACCAUGCACCGAAGCUGCGGCAGCGACACUAUGUGUUGUUGGGUAGGGGAGCGUUCUGUAAGCCUGCGAAGGUGGCCUGUGAGGGUUGCUGGAGGUAUCAGAAGUGCGAAUGCUGACAUAAGUAACGAUAAAGCGGGUGAAAAGCCCGCUCGCCGGAAGACCAAGGGUUCCUGUCCAACGUUAAUCGGGGCAGGGUGAGUCGACCCCUAAGGCGAGGCCGAAAGGCGUAGUCGAUGGGAAACAGGUUAAUAUUCCUGUACUUGGUGUUACUGCGAAGGGGGGACGGAGAAGGCUAUGUUAGCCGGGCGACGGUUGUCCCGGUUUAAGCAUGUAGGCGGAGGUUCCAGGUAAAUCCGGUACCUUUUAACGCUGAGGUGUGAUGACGAGGCACUACGGUGCUGAAGUAACAAAUGCCCUGCUUCCAGGAAAAGCCUCUAAGCAUCAGGUAACAUUAAAUCGUACCCCAAACCGACACAGGUGGUCAGGUAGAGAAUACCAAGGCGCUUGAGAGAACUCGGGUGAAGGAACUAGGCAAAAUGGUGCCGUAACUUCGGGAGAAGGCACGCUGGUGUGUAGGUGAAGUCCCUGCGGAUGGAGCUGAGACCAGUCGAAGAUACCAGCUGGCUGCAACUGUUUAUUAAAAACACAGCACUGUGCAAACACGAAAGUGGACGUAUACGGUGUGACGCCUGCCCGGUGCCGGAAGGUUAAUUGAUGGGGUUAUCCGUAAGGAGAAGCUCUUGAUCGAAGCCCCGGUAAACGGCGGCCGUAACUAUAACGGUCCUAAGGUAGCGAAAUUCCUUGUCGGGUAAGUUCCGACCUGCACGAAUGGCGUAAUGAUGGCCAGGCUGUCUCCACCCGAGACUCAGUGAAAUUGAACUCGCUGUGAAGAUGCAGUGUACCCGCGGCAAGACGGAAAGACCCCGUGAACCUUUACUAUAGCUUGACACUGAACAUUGAGCCUUGAUGUGUAGGAUAGGUGGGAGGCUUUGAAGCGUGGACGCCAGUCUGCGUGGAGCCAACCUUGAAAUACCACCCUUUAAUGUUUGAUGUUCUAACGUUGGCCCGUAAUCCGGGUUGCGGACAGUGUCUGGUGGGUAGUUUGACUGGGGCGGUCUCCUCCCAAAGAGUAACGGAGGAGCACGAAGGUUAGCUAAUCCUGGUCGGACAUCAGGAGGUUAGUGCAAUGGCAUAAGCUAGCUUGACUGCGAGCGUGACGGCGCGAGCAGGUGCGAAAGCAGGUCAUAGUGAUCCGGUGGUUCUGAAUGGAAGGGCCAUCGCUCAACGGAUAAAAGGUACUCCGGGGAUAACAGGCUGAUACCGCCCAAGAGUUCAUAUCGACGGCGGUGUUUGGCACCUCGAUGUCGGCUCAUCACAUCCUGGGGCUGAAGUAGGUCCCAAGGGUAUGGCUGUUCGCCAUUUAAAGUGGUACGCGAGCUGGGUUUAGAACGUCGUGAGACAGUUCGGUCCCUAUCUGCCGUGGGCGCUGGAGAAUUGAGGGGGGCUGCUCCUAGUACGAGAGGACCGGAGUGGACGCAUCACUGGUGUUCGGGUUGUCAUGCCAAUGGCACUGCCCGGUAGCUAAAUGCGGAAGAGAUAAGUGCUGAAAGCAUCUAAGCACGAAACUUGCCCCGAGAUGAGUUCUCCCUGAGACUUUAAGUCUCCUGAAGGAACGUUGAAGACGACGACGUUGAUAGGCCGGGUGUGUAAGCGCAGCGAUGCGUUGAGCUAACCGGUACUAAUGAACCGUGAGGCUUAACCUU
Molecule: ribosomal RNA, 2902 nt
Filed under: Klebsiella pneumoniae
Lineage: Bacteria; Pseudomonadati; Pseudomonadota; Gammaproteobacteria; Enterobacterales; Enterobacteriaceae
Also listed under: 1 other name
Description: bacterial LSU rRNA
Rfam family: Bacterial large subunit ribosomal RNA
Source: RNAcentral